CAAGAGAAAAAUGAGUAGCAGGCACGGUUGAAGAAACAACCUCUAAAAUGAUCAUCCUCUGAGGAGGAAGAGUUGCAGGCGUUGGAGAAGAUUGACUUUGAGCAUCUAGGAUUGACUCCAUCAUGGCAGUCAGAUGGGCAAUCUCGUCCUUCAAGUCUCUAUUCUCUUGCUCUAGAUGUUCCAUGAUUCGCGAAUGAUUGACGCGAGUAUUGUAUCGAUGAGUCAGCUUGGCUGGAGCACAGAAGAAC
This 248-nucleotide long non-coding RNA is filed under the name Lathyrus oleraceus (garden pea). RNAcentral describes it as "Pisum sativum (pea) long non-coding RNA (PSAT_LNC012590)". The record is from RNAcentral. Lineage: Eukaryota; Viridiplantae; Streptophyta; Magnoliopsida; Fabales; Fabaceae.